GCAGCAUCUUCAUCGGGAUGCUAGUGUCCUUGCAGAAGACCCUCCUGAAGGUUGAUCUGAUUUCUUCUUCAGAUCUGAAAGACUGUCUUCAAUCUUAAAGAAGACUUGUAGGAGGAUGAUGAAGAGAGACUCCUCUCUUUUUCUCUUAAAAGCAUACACAAGAGAACAAAGAAAAACGCUAGGAGAAGAACCCUUCUUCUCCUUUUUUUUCUUUUUUUUUCUCACUUUUUCUCAUGCCAAA
This 241-nucleotide long non-coding RNA is filed under the name Elaeis guineensis (African oil palm). Its description in RNAcentral is "long non-coding RNA (EGUI_LNC033570)". Lineage: Eukaryota; Viridiplantae; Streptophyta; Magnoliopsida; Arecales; Arecaceae. The record is from RNAcentral.